Dermacentor silvarum is the source of this 1604-nucleotide long non-coding RNA. RefSeq lists it as uncharacterized. The record is from RefSeq and is a predicted model, not a curated record. Lineage: Eukaryota; Metazoa; Arthropoda; Arachnida; Ixodida; Ixodidae. The transcript is spliced from 3 exons.
UGCCGGAAUCACGACUUGAGGCUCUCUCCCCUUCCUUCGCCCGUAUUUCCCGGCUGUGAAUGCAUGUGCCUGCGUGCUGUCGUGUCUCGUAUUACUUGCGCCGGUGGUAAUAAGGAAAAAUAGCAGCUGUCUUGUGGUAUGCCAUUCGGUCGUAGGUGAAGCAAGCAUGGACAUCAACUUUUCUGGUGACGAGGUGAAGAAAUUUUUAGGCUCAGGCGGCUCGUGGACUGCCGACCUGACCCAUGUGCCGCGCGUGUGUGAGCGUGUCAUUGAAGCCCAUUUCGGUGCGUCUACUAGCCGCGGGCUGCAAAAGGGUUGGAAGUUUAAAGAAGAGAAGUAUAUUCACCGGUUGGAAUGCUGUAUCAGUCGCCAUACUUCUGGAUGUGAGCUUCAUAUCCUAAGGAGCAUUUGCCUCUGCUCAAUGAAACCUGGGCACUACAGACAAGUCGUUGCCCUCCGUGAGGAAAAUGUGACAUGUGUUGUUCGAGCUUACUGCGACUGCGUUGCUGGGCUCAGUCAAAGCUGCCAACACAUUGCUGCUCUUCUUUUUGCUGUUAGGAGCAUUCAGACGCCAUCCUGCACCGGCAUGCCUUGCAAGUGGAUGGCUCCAACACAAGGUAAACAGUUUCUUGUGAAACGAAAAUGCACCUUAUUUUAACAACCUCGCGAUGUCUGCAGGGCAGACCAUUACCGAGGCAUGCCAAGACAAAACAUUUUGUUCGCAAGUGGUUGAUGGUGUUGUUACUUUAAAAAGAGACCAUCCUUAUUUUUUUCAAAUCCAGGGACAACUAGCGGUCACCGGAAAGACAUGGUGUGAUCUUGUUUUGUGGACGAACAGAACUGAGCUGCUGCUUAGUACCUCUGUUGAAAGGAUUUAUUUUCACAAAGAUGUGUGGCAUGAAAUGCUGCAAGCACUGAUAUAUUUUUACAAAGCUGCCAUCAUUCCUGAGCUCCUAACACGCCGCAUGAGGCGGUUGGGUUUCCUGUAUACCACAGGGGCCGGAUAUGUGCCUUUCAAAAAGUACGCUCAAGGCUUUUACAUUGCUGAGACAUCGGAUGACCCAAUGAAGCUAUCAUUAAGGAAACUGAAGUAGUGCAUAUUGCAAAUAGCAAGAAACAAGUGUCUCUAAACUGCAGUAGCAUUUGGUGGCUCCACAUGUUUUGUUCUUGGGUGAAUGCUAAGGCUCAAUACUUGUAAGGGUUUUAGCAUUUCAACCACCCGAUAGUUGAGAAGAAAAUGUGUGCUUUGAACAGUGAAAACUGCUUGCUUUCAUGCUGAAAAUUUCGUAUUUAACUAGCACUGCAGUCAACACUAAAUAUAGAAAUUUGAAGCUCUCUAUUUUUCUGUAAAAGUGCAAUUCAGUUUCGCAUGCAAUAACAUAGGUGCAAUUAUAUGUAUGAAUUACAGUGUAAAGUGCAUGUCUUUUCCUUGGGUGCAUUUGUAAGGAUUAAAUGUGUCCAUUCAAACCUAGCAGAAUUGCAUGUUUGGGCAAGAACGACAUGGCAUGACAAAGAGAUGAUUGAAAGUAAUGAAGGAGAAUAAAAGGUGUUUUCAAAUUUAUUAACGAUUAUCCAAACUCAUUCAUUCGAUUGCAUGUCAAGCU